CAGUCGCCACGGGAAUACGUAGGGUGCAAGCGUUAAUCGGAAUUACUGGGCGUAAAGCGUGCGCAGGCGGUUCGUUAAGACAGAUGUGAAAUCCCCGGGCUUAACCUGGGAACUGCAUUUGUGACUGGCGGGCUAGAGUAUGGCAGAGGGGGGUAGAAUUCCACGUGUAGCAGUGAAAUGCGUAGAGAUGUGGAGGAAUACCGAUGGCGAAGGCAGCCCCCUGGGCCAAUACUGACGCUCAUGCACGAAAGCGUGGGGAGCAAACAGGAUUAGAUACCCCUGUAGUCCCUGUCUCUUAUAC
RNAcentral lists this ribosomal RNA (301 nucleotides) under uncultured bacterium. Its description in RNAcentral is "partial 16S ribosomal RNA". It matches the Rfam family "Bacterial small subunit ribosomal RNA", at positions 509 to 807 of the family's 1533-position model. The record is from RNAcentral.